Molecule: ribosomal RNA, 301 nt
Filed under: uncultured bacterium
Lineage: Bacteria
Description: partial 16S ribosomal RNA
Rfam family: Bacterial small subunit ribosomal RNA
Source: RNAcentral
CAGUAGCCGCGGGAAAACAGAGGGUGCGAGCGUUAAUCGGAUUUACUGGGCGUAAAGCGUGCGUAGGCGGCUUUUUAAGUCGGAUGUGAAAUCCCCGAGCUUAACUUGGGAAUUGCAUUCGAUACUGGGGAGCUAGAGUAUGGGAGAGGAUGGUAGAAUUCCAGGUGUAGCGGUGAAAUGCGUAGAGAUCUGGAGGAAUACCGAUGGCGAAGGCAGCCAUCUGGCCUAAUACUGACGCUGAGGUACGAAAGCAUGGGGAGCAAACAGGAUUAGAUACCCCAGUAGUCCCUGUCUCUUAUAC